CAGAAAACAACAAGCCACAUAUAAACUUUUGGUUUUAUCUCCUCUACUGUACUUGCCACAGAAAUAAUAAUUGCCUCUAUGAAUUUGUUAUUGUUUUUAUUCCAUAGACAUGUUGCACAAAUGGAAGAGGAAGAAGAGGAGGACAGGGACUGAGAUAGCAGGUUCCUCAGACUACCAUCAACCUCAGCCAUCCAGCUCCAGCUGGACCCCAGGGAAGCCACCCUUCUAUAAAGGUAAGGAGACAGGAGGGUGGCUAAACUAUGUAAAUUGAAUUAUAGAUAAAUAGAUAUAUGUUGUGUACCUAGGUCUGAGUCAGUGUGUAUCUGGCUGUGUGUGUGUAUCUUGCUGUGUUUUUGUCAGUGUGUGUCUGAGUCAGUUUGUGUCAGUGUAUGUAUCUGACUGUUCAUGUAUCUGACUCUAUGUGUGUGUGUGUCUGGCUGUGUUUUUGUCAGUGUGUAUAUCAGACUGUGUGUUUGUAUCUGGCUGUGUUUGUCAGUGUAUAUAUCUGACUGUGUGUGUGUAACUGGCUGUGUUUGUGUCAGUGCAUGUGUGCCUGUGUGUCAGUGUGUAUGUGUAUCUGUGUGUAUGUAUACCUGUGUCUGUAUAUGUGUACUUGUGGGUCAGUUUGUAUGUGUACCUGCAUGUCUGUGCAUGUGGCAAUACAUACAUCCAAUCAUUCCAGUGCCAUCAUUGCACACAAAAACACUACUACAUUCCAAAUACAUUGUGCUCAAAUACACCACUGCUGGUGUAUCUGUGAUCCUGUGUGUAUCUCAGUGUUUGUGUAAGUGUGCAUCUGUGUGUGUGGCAAUGCAUACAUACAGGGCCGGACUGGCCCACCGGGAUACCGGGAAAUUUCCCGGUGGGCCGGCACACUAGGGGGCCGGUGCGCGGCCGCCUAGUGUGCACCAGCCCGGGCUGCAAUUACAGGGUUGCCGGCAGGAGGGAAUGCGCUUCCCUCCUGCCGGUCACAGAAUGUAGUGUGGCCGAGCAGGCAGACCGUGGUAGGGGAGCUUCUGUUCCCCUACCCGGUCUGACAGGAACCUGCAAGAGAGAACGCUCCUCCCGCGAGCAGGCAGGUUGGAGCGUUGCUGUGCGUUACCAUGGCAACGCUCCGACCUGCCUGCUGUUCUUGUGGGAGGAGAGCGAAGUCAGCCUGCGGCCAGAGGAGCUGCAGGCUGAACAGCACGCUUCACCACUGGACCACCAGGGAUCGAAGAGUGGCCGUCCCCCCUCUCCCCUGACCAAAGGUAAGGGGGAGGGGGUAAAAUGAAGCUUUUUUAAAAUAUAUAUCAAUGCCCAUACACACACUACAUACCCCCCCCCAUACACACACCACCCCCUCCCCUCCACCAACAGCACCCCCCCACCAACAGCUCCCCCCACCAACAGCACCCUCCCCCCCACCAACAGCACCCUCCCCCACCAACAGCACACUCCCCCACCAGCAGCACCCUUCCCCCCACAGAACCCCUCCGCCACAAAGCACAGAACCCUCCGCACGCACAGAACCCCUCCGCAGAACCCUCCACGCCUCACAGCGCACACACAGAACCCCUCCACGCUCACACAGAACCCCUCCACGCUCACACAGAACCCCUCCACGUACACAGAACCCCUCCACGUACACAGAACCCCUCCACGCACACACAGAACCCCUUCACGCACACAGAACCCCUCCAAGCACACAGAACCCCUCCACGCACAAAGGACCCCUCCACGCACAAAGAACCCCUCCACGCUCACAGACCCCCUCCACGCACACAGAACCCCUCCAUGCUCACAGAACCCCUCCACGCACACAGAACCCCUCCACGCUCACAGAACCCCUCCACGCUCACACAGAACCCCUCCACGCUCACACAGAACCCCUCCACACUCACAGAACCCCUCCACGCACACAGAGAACCCCUCCACGCACACAGAACCCCUCCACACACACACAGAACCCCUCCACACACACACAGAACCCCUCCACACACAAACGGCACUCUCUCCACACACACACACUAAACCGCUACACACACUGCACCCCCUCCAAAUACACACCGCACCCCCCCACACACUGAACCCCUACACACACUGCACUCCCCACACACUGAACACACACACUGCACCCCUCACUGUAGUCUGUGUGUGUGCGUGUAUUCACCAGUCUGUGCACGUUCACCAGUCUGUGCGCGUGUAAUCACCAAUCUGUGUGUAUAUUCCGCAGUCUCUAUAUGUGUGUAUUCAGCAGCCAAUGUAUAUAUUCAGCAGUCUGUGUGUGUUUUUUGCAGUUUGUGUGUAUUUAGCAGUCUGUCUCUGUGUGUAAGUAUUGUAUUUGUUGGAGGUACCAAUAAAUAUAAGCCUAAUUUUAUUGAUAAUUUAUAUUUUUAUUUCUUUGAGUGGUUGCAUAGUCAGGGCCCCAGUGCAUUGGUUUGCCCAGUGGACUAUUAUGCUGUUACGAUGGCCAUGGUCUAGGGUAUGUGUGUGCUCUGAUGAUCAUGCUCCUACAAAAUGUAAAUGAAAAGACACUCAUUUGAGUACCAGGAAGGGGAUGAACAGUAACAGCCACUUCUGGCCAAGAAGAGAUUAAAAACUUAUGUAUUUCUCUGUUUUUUUUGUUUGUUUUUUUUUGCAAUUUUUGUAUCGCUAAUGGGUGUCCAAUUUUUAUAUUUUCAAAAUCUGGUCACCCUAGACAUAUGGAAGGUUGAGAGGGGGCAUAGGGACACAUGGAGGACUGGGAGAGAGGGCUAAUAGGACAUAUGUGGGGGCUACUGGAUUAUAUGCAAAUGCACGUCUGCGUCUGCUUACAAUAAAUCUGCUCUGCUUUAUUCUGAAGCCCUAUAAGUGCUUUCUUUCAUGUUUGAGUGCUAGUUUUCAGUUUUUUUCCCGCUUCCAUAUCUGCGCACUAUGCUGGCGCGAUGCAUUACGGGGCUGGUAUGGAAUUUUUUUCCAGGGCUGCUUUUCAUUCCCAGUCCGGCCCUGCAUACAUACCAGCAUUCCUAUGCCAACACUGCACACAAAUACACCCCUGCAUGUGUACCUCUGUGUAUGUGUGUCUGUGUGUAUCUGAGUGUGUGCACAUAUCUGUGUAAGUGUGUAUCUCUGUGUGUGGAUGUGCCAGUGUUUUUAUAUCUGUGUGCAUCAAAGUGUGUGUAUCUCAGUGUGCGUGUAUGUGCUAGUGUGUGUGUAUACGUGUCAGUGUGUGCAUGUAUCAGUGUGUAUGUAUAUCUGUGAAUGUAUAGAAUGUAUGUGCACAGUGGCGUACACACAAUCCAUGGGGCCCCGGUGCGAAACUGAUCCGUGGGCUCCCCCACCGCCCUAUUCCCGCCCCCACUCCCUAUUCCUCCCCACAGACACACACACACAUACAUACAAAGACACACACAUACACACAGACAUACAAACAGACAGGCACAUAUAUAUGCAUACAGACACACACAGACACAUACAUACAGACUAACACACACACACAUACAGACUGACAUACAGGCACACAGACCGACAUAUACAUACAGACAGACACACAUACACAGACAUACAAACAAACAAGCACACACACACACAGACAUACAGGCAGAUAUACACAUACAGACACACAGACAAACACACAUACAUACAAAGACAUACAGACACACACACACAUACAAACAAACAGGCACACAUACAUACAGGCAGACACACACAUACAUACAAACACACACACACACACAAUAUUUAAGUCACCCACCUGUUUCUUACCUUUUAGGUGCAGGAGGGUGACUGGGGUCCAGUGGUGGCUCAGGUGGAUGGGAGUCAGAGUUCCCACUCUCACUCCCUGGUCUUCCUCCCGCACGGCUCUCAGUGUUAGCUGGGAGGAGUGACGUGCAGUCACUUCCUCCCAGCUCUGUGAUGUAAUCACAGGGGGCCCGGUCGCACUGUUAAAGCCAGAACGACCCAGGGUGUUCAAAAUGGGGCAUGUCCAGUCUUUUGUAGUAGCCACUUAGCCACAAACGCUUAGCGUUCAAAAGUUAGCAAAAACUGCACUUUUAUUGGUGAUUUCAUCGUUGUGAUAAGUUUUACUGUUUUAAACACUCAUAUUUGUGUUCUGUGAAGUACAUGUACAUGUUCAUGUUUUUAUGGUGUUUUGGAAAGUUACAGGGUCAAUAUAGGGCUUGCCCAAUUCAGUUUGCCAGAUUGGUUUGCUGGGUCUAUGUUGCCUGUUGAGACCAUAUGUGAAUGUGAGUUAACCCCAUCAUGGCAUACCAUUUUCAAAUGUAGACAACCCAGGGUAUUCCAAAUAGGGUAUUUCCAGUCUUUUGUAGUAGCAACUUAGUCACAAACGCUGGCCAAAGUUAGUGUUUUUAUUUAUUUGUUUUUUGAAUUUUUUACUAGUGAUAUCAUCGUGAUAAGUGUUACUUUUUAAAACACUCAUAUUUGUGUUCAGCGAAGUCUCCCGAGUAUAACAAUACCCUGUCAGGAUUACUGUUUGAUCCAGCACGUAGAACUGUACAGCACGGAUGACAAAUAAGUAACGUAUUACCGGUCCUUAGAAUGGCCGGAUUUAACGUACAAAGAAUAGUCAAAAAUACUAGCCGAGGUCAGGGAACACAGAAAGGGACACAGCGAUGAGAAAAGCCAGGAGUCAGGAUACCAGAAUAUAGAGAGUCAAUAAACAAAGCCAAAGUCAAAAACCAGGUAGAAAACUAUAAACAGGAACGCGCUCUCAGACAACCACAAGGGAAACCACGACAGGGCACUGAGCAGGCUGAGAACUGGGCCUAAAUACCCCUCCUUUAGUUCUGAUAGGCUGUAACCGGCCUUUGACCCCAAAGUCAGUUACCAGGUUUCAUUUGCAUAAUUGCUGCUCAGCAUUAACCCUUCUGUGGAUUAGGUUGCUGCUCGGCACAACUUUUCCUGUGUGGACAGUAAAUGUCAUUAAUCACUUUUCUCUAAGCGGAUGAAUACAUGACACCAGGUUUCAUUUGCACAAUUACUGCUCAGCAUUAACCCUUCUGUGGAUUAGGUUGCUGCUCGGCACAACUUUUCCUGUGUGGACAGUAAAUGUCAUUAACCACAUUUCUAUAAGCGGAUGAAUAUGUGACAUUACCCCCACCUGAAGAACGCCCACCGGGCGGACAGGACCAGGCUUGAGAGGAAAUUUAGCGUGAAAAGCGCGGAUCUUACGGCCCGCAUGCAGGUCAGGAGCCGAAACCCAAGAACGAUCAGCAGGACCGUAACCUUUCCAAACAACCAAGUACUGUAAAGUGCCCCGAGAAAACCUAGAAUCCACGAUAGAAGAUACCUCAUACUCUUCCUGACCACCCACCACCACCGGAGGGGGAGGAACACAAGGAACAGUAUAUCUAUUGCAGACAAGAGGUUUGAGUAAGGACACAUGAAAAGUGUUGGGAAUCCCUAAAGAUGCAGGAAGAGCCAGAGAGUAAGACACUGGAUUGAUCCUACGAAGCACUCUAUAGGGACCAAGGAAUCUGGGGGCAAACUUCAUGCUAGGGACCUUAAGCUUGAUGUUGCGAGAUGACAACCAAACCCGGUCCCCCACUUGGUACACCGGGUUGGCACUCCUACGCUUAUCAGCAAAAUGUUUGAAGCGUUCAGCAGCAGCCCCUAGAGCAGUUUGAACCUUAACCCAGGUAUCCCGAAUGGAGGCCAGACGCUCAUCCAGAGCAGGAAUGGCAGUAUCAGAAAAUACCGCAGGGAGAACCGUAGGAUGCCUACCAUUAUUGACAAAAAAUGGACUGUGCCCAGAGGAGUCAUGAACAGCAUUGUUUCUAGCGAACUCGACCCACGGGAGUAGUUCGGACCAAUUGUCUUGUGUGCUAUUAAUAAAACAUGCAAAUAAACUUCUAAUGACUGGUUAGCCCUCUCAGCUGUACCAUUGGUCUGUGGAUGGUAGGAGGAGGAGAAGGAGAGCUCAAUCCCCAAUUGUUUACUGAACGCCCUCCAGAACCUGGACACAAACUGAGAGCCCCUAUCAGACACAAUAUUGUGGGGGAUGCCAUGCAAACGGACAAUUUCACGUAUGAAAAUUAGGACCAAAUCUUGCGAAGAUGGCAACUUCUUGAGAGGAAUGAAGUGAGCCAUCUUAGAAAAUCGGUCUACAACCAUGAGAAUAGUAGUGAACCCAGCAGAGCUAGGAAGCUCAACAAUAAAGUCCAUGGAUAGGUGGGACCAUGGAAUCUCAGGAACAGGAAGAGGCUGCAACAGGCCACAAGGAAGUGCAUGAGUCACCUUAGAAACUGCACACACAGAACAUGCCUGCACAUACUCCUUUACAUCUUUCCUGAGUGAAUCCCACCAAAAUGAUCUAGUGAUCGCGGCAGUGGACUUAUUGAUGCCCGGGUGUCCAGCAGUUAUAUUGUCAUGGAACACUUUCAUGAUAUUAACCCUUUCACAUAGGGGAACGAACAGUUUAUCACACGGUUUACCACUGGGCGCCUGAGGCUGGGCCUCCAGUAUGGUGCCAAGCAGUGGAGAAGACAGUGAGAGGACAGUAGUAGCAAUAAUACACUCUGCUGGAAUAAUAGGAGAUGUCAUCUGUUCCGGAGCUGACUCAUUAUCAAAUUGCCUGGACAAGGCAUCAGCCUUGGUAUUUUUAGAACCAGGUCUAUAAGUAAUGAGAAAGUUAAAACGUGAAAGGAACAGUGACCAUCUAGCCUGUCUGGAAGACAAACGUUUGGCAUCCCCUAUAUAUGCCAGAUUUUUGUGGUCGGUUAUGAUCAACAGGGGGUCCUUGGAACCCUCCAAAAGAUGUUGCCACUCCUUGAGGGCAAGAAUAAUGGCCAACAGUUCUCUAUUGCCAAUAUCAUAGUUGCGCUCAGCAGGAGACAUCUUUCUGGAGAAGUAGCCACAAGGAUGCAAUGGUGUUCCCUGGCUUUCUCUCUGAGAGAGAACAGCCCCUACCCCUGUCUCGGAUGCAUCAACCUCCAAUAUAAAAGGUUUACUGGUGUCAGGAUGUUUUAGUAUGUCCGCAGAGGCAAAUCUUUGUUUAAGAGUCUCAAAAGCAUUCACAGCCUCUUUGGACCAUACCGUGCUACUAACCCCUUUGCGAGUCAUAUUUGUGAUUGGGGCUAUUACAGAAGAAAAUCCCUUGAUGAAUCUUCUGUAAUAGUUGGCAAAACCAAUAAACCUUUGAAUGGCUUUUAAACCAGAGGGUAAUGGCCAGUGUAGUACAGCCUCUAGUUUUUUAGGAUCCAUUUGAAAUCCCGAUGCAGAGAUGUUGUAACCCAAAAAGUGGACUUCAGGCUGGUCAAAUAUGCACUUUUCUAAUUUACAAUAAAGUUUAUUUUUCAACAACGUCUGCAGAACCUGUUUCACAUGGGAGUGGUGAGUUUGAAGAUCAGGGGAAUACACCAAAAUAUCGUCCAAAUAAACCAAGACAAAUGAGUAAAUGAAUUCCCUGAGUACAUCAUUUAUAAAGUCUUGGAAUACGGCCGGGGCGUUGCAUAACCCAAAUGGCAUUACCAGAUAUUCAUAGUGUCCACUACGGGUAUUAAAUGCCGUCUUCCACUAACCAAAUUGUAAGCGCUCCUAAGGUCAAGCUUAGUAAAUACUUUAGCUCCCUGAAGUCUAUCGAACAAUUCGGAAAUGAGUGGAAUAGGGUAUGCAUUUUUUACAGUGAUUUUAUUAAGUGCCCUGUAGUCUAUGCAAGGGCGUAACUCACCACCCUUUUUCUCAACAAAAAAGAAUCCUGCACCAGCUGGUGAGGAUGACUUUCUUAUGUGCCCUUUGCUCAAGGAUUCUUUGAUGUAUUCCUCCAUUAUUUUACUCUCCUGGGGAGAUAAGGCAUAAACUGCCCCCUUAGGUGGCAUAGCGCCUGGAAACAGGUUAAUGGCACAGUCAUAUGCUCUGUGGGGAGGCAAUACAUCGGAUUGAGCCUUGUUAAACACCUCCUGAAGUUCUCGGUAUUGUAUGGGAACUCCAGGAGUUUGGGGAGUGGUAGUGGGAAGGUCAAUAGUAUCCAAUCUCUUUAGUACUGGUUUUAUACAUCUCCCCAUACACUCUUUACCCCAUUCUAAUAUCUCCCCAUUAGCCCAGUCAAUAUAGGGAUUGUGCUUACUCAGCCACGGAAACCCUAAUAUGAUAGGACAUGAUGGAGAAGUAAUAACCUGAAACGUCAUCUCCUCCCUAUGGGAGGCCCCAAUGGAGAUCGUAAUAGGGACAGUUUCGUGGGUUAUAAGCGGUUGUGUGAGUGGUCUACCAUCAAUAGCCUCUACAGCUAGCGGCGUAGGUCUCUCCCUGACCGGUAUCUCAUUACCCCUAAUAAACUGGACAUCAAUAAAAUUUCCAGCAGCACCUGAGUCCAUUAGGGCACUGCAAGAAAACUUCUUGUUAUCAAGGGAAAUAGAUACCUCAAGGAGGAAUCUACUUUUGUUUUUGUUAGAGGACAACUCCAUCACACCUAAGAUCUGUCCCCUUAAGGUUCUUAGGUGCGGAAGUUUUCCGGACGCACUGGACAAUUAGUUAUCAUAUGUCCCUUUCUACCGCAAUAUAGGCAUAACCCCUCCCUUCUCCUAUACUGUUUUUCGGCCUCUGACAGUCUAGUGACCCCCAACUGCAUAGGUUCGGGUUCGGACUGUACAGGGAGGUUAGACAAAACAGGUUUAGAGAAUUGAGGUGCUAGGGACAUAGCCGUACGUCUGGUCUUGCUUCUGGUGACUUCUCUGAGUCUUAACCUAUUAUCAAUAUGCAUGACAAACGUAAUAAAUUCGUUAAGACUCUUAGGUAAUUCUUUAGCGGCUAUCUCAUCUAGUAUAGUCUCUGAGAGACCCUUUUUGAAUGCUGAGAUUAACCCAUUGUUAGUCCAGUCUACCUCGGAAGCUAAGGUACGGAAUUCAAUAGCAUAAUCCGAGAUAGACCGGUUACCUUGUCUGAUGUGCAUUAGGGCAGUGGAGGCGUCAUCCUCUCUACCCAAUGGCUCAAACGUGAGCUUGAAUUCGGCAAGGAAUUCCUGGUAAUUAUGAGCUAUGCUCCGAUUACUCUCCCACAACGGAUUAGCCCAGGCAAGGGCCUUGCCCUUUAAUUGAUUCAUUAGAUAACCAAUUCUUGCUCUGUCCGUGGGGAAUGACCCUGGUGAGGCCUCAAAAUGGUACUCCACCUGAUUAAGAAAACCCCUGCAUUCCUGGAUAUUGCCAUCAAACUGUAGGGAUGGUGAUAAGGAGAUGCAAGGAGUCCUAUUAACAGUGGGUGGAGGUACACAGGGUAGAGGUGCUAUAGGAGGAGACGCUGCAGGCUGCAGAUGCUCCGUUCUAGCGAGAAGCGUACUUAAAGCCUGAGUGAAUUGAUCCAUGCGGUGAUCAUUCUCCUCUAAUUUCCUCUCGCAAGCAGCUAUGUGCUGACACAGUUCUACAGGAUCUAUGGCCAUGUCGUAAUGUCAGGAUUACUGUUUGAUCCAGCACGUAGAACUGUACAGCACGGAUGACAAAUAAGUAACAUAUUACCGGUCCUUAGAAUGGCCGGAUUUAACGUACAAAGAAUAGUCAAAAAUACUAGCCGAGGUCAGGGAACACAGAAAGGGACACAGCGAUGAGGAAAGCCAGGAGUCAGGAUACCAGAAUAUAGAGAAGUCAAUAAACAAAGCCAAAGUCAAAAACCAGGUAGAAAACUAUAAACAGGAACGCGCUCUCAGACAACCACAAGGGAAACCACGACAGGGCACUGAGCAGGCUGAGAACUGGGCCUAAAUACCCCUCCUUUAGUUCUGAUAGGCUGUAACUGGCCUUUGACCCCAAAGUCAGUUACCAGGUUUCAUUUGCAUAAUUGCUGCUCAGCAUUAACCCUUCUGUGGAUUAGGUUGCUGCUCGGCACAACUUUUCCUGUGUGGACAGUAAAUGUCAUUAAUCACUUUUCUCUAAGCGGAUGAAUACAUGACACCAGGUUUCAUUUGCACAAUUACUGCUCAGCAUUAACCCUUCUGUGGAUUAGGUUGCUGCUCGGCACAACUUUUCCUGUGUGGACAGUAAAUGUCAUUAACCACAUUUCUAUAAGCGGAUGAAUAUGUGACAUACCCCCCAUGUAAAGGUUUUAUGGUGUUUUGGAAAGUUACGGGGUUAAAUAUAGGGUUCGCCAAUUAAAUUCUAUGGACUUUCUGCCUGGGUUGUCAGGUAGGUCCCUCAAAUAAUAAUAAAAUCAAAUAAUUAUAUUUUUAAUAAUUAAAUAUAUAUGUAGAAUGUGUGUCCGUGUGUAUAUAUAUAUAUAUAUAUAUGUAUAAAGUUUUAUUUUUUUAAUGUAUAAUAUAUAUGUGUCUAGCCAGCCUCCUACCCCAGGACUAUGGGCCAUGGAACCGGCUCAUUAAAAGACUUGGUUUUUGGGAUUUAUUUGUUCUCUUCGGGAACCGAAGCAACUCACAAACUGCGAACCACCUCUGUACUUGUUAACCUCUCCUGAAACUUCUAUCAACGUGGGUUCUAAUUGCGCUGCUGGGUGGCUGCCGUUUGUAUGCACAAACACGUGGGAACUGUGCGGCAGCCAUCUUGUUCGCGAGAAUGCAGGCAGCGGUGUUUGGGUGUCGAUCGCAUGGAACUCAAAUCGGACACUGAAACUCCUGAACAUCGCUGAACUUUGACGAACGCCUGCUUCUUCCCCACACAUGUCAGGAGAGCGCAGUUCGAUAGGUUUGUCCGUAUGAACCAGAUGAACAAACGCUACCAACAAGCCAGAGUGUGCAUUCGGUAUUUCUUUCACAUUGAGCUCCCGAAGUUGACCGGCAAAAUCACCAAACGCCCUGAAACUGUUUUGGGCAUAGGACCAUGUGUGCGGCCCGUCAGAACUUUGCCCCGGUGGCGUUUCGGCUAUGUUUCUGGGAUCUGAGCGCUUUUUUGGAUAUGUUGGGCGCCCAGAUCCAGGCUAUUAUUAUUAUUAUUAUGAUAGUUAUAUAGCGCCAUCAAAUUCCGCAGUGCUUUACAAUGGGUGGACGAACAGACAUGUAGUUGUAACCAGACAAGCUGGACACACAGGAACAGAGGAGUUGAGGGCCCUGCUCUAUGAGCUUACAUGCUAGAGGGUGUGGGGUAAAAUGACACAAAAAGGUCAGGAUAGUAUUAGACUAGUGACAAUUGCAGAAGAGGAAUCAGUCAGGAGCUAUUAACAGUUUAAUUGAUACGCUUUUAUGAAGAAGUGGGUUUUUAACGAGUUUUUGAAGGAGUGGAGACUGGGUGAGCAUCUAACGGAGGAGGGAAGAGAGUUCCACAGGAAAGGUGCAGCCCUCAAGAAAUCUUGAAGGCGAGCAUCAGAGUUGGGAGUACGGACAGAAGAUAGACGUAAGUUUUCAGCAGAUCAUAAGGGCCUAGACCCGACAUACUUGUGUAUAAGGGAGGAUAGAUAGGUGGGAGCAGCAUUAUGUAGAGAUUUGAAAGCAAGAACCAGAAUUUUAAAUUGAGCUCUAUAUUUUAUAGGAAGCCAAUGUAGGGACUGACAGAAGGGUGAGGCAUGGGAGGUGCGGACGGACAGGAAGAUGAGCCUCGCUGCCGCAUUCAUUAUGGAAUGUAACGGCGCAAGUUGGGAGCACGUAAGACCACUGAGAAGCGGAUUACAGUAGUCAAGGCUAGAAAGGACAGUGGAAUGGACCAACACCUUAGUCGCAUUUGGGGUUAAGUAGGGGCGGAUGCACGCAAUGUUUUUAAGAUGGAAAUGACAGGAUUUGGCGAUAGAUUGAACAUGAGGCUUGAAGGAGAGGUCGGAGUCAAAGAGAAAACCUAGGCAGCGAGCCUGUGUGGUGGAGCUGAUGGUAGCACCGUUGACUUGGAGGGAGACAGACACAGGAGUAACAACACUUGAGGGAGGAAAGACCAGAAUUUCAGUUUUGGUCAAGUUUAGUUUAAGGAAAUAGUAGAAAGGCAGUCAGAGACACUAGUCAAGAGGGACGGGGAGAGAUCAGGAGAGGACAGGUAGAUUUGCAUGUCAUCUGCAUAGACAUUAUAUUGGAAGCCAAAGGAGCUAAUGAGUUUACCAAGGUAGGCAGUAGAGAUGGUUAGAGAACUGUAUGGGACCAAGGACUGAACCUUGGGGGACACCAACAGAGAGGAGUUUGGGAGAAGAAGCAGAGCCAGCGAAAUAAAUAUAUAAAAUUAACGUCAUUCUAAGUGUAUUUUAAUAUAUAUAUAUAUUAUAUUAAAUAUAUAUUAAAAUACACUUCGAAUAAUGGAUUGGGUAUGUGUAUAUAAAAUUACUUAGAUCAUAUAUAUAUAUAUAUUUAUAUAUAUAUACUAGGAAAAAUCCUUGCACCCUGGCUGUACAGGUAUAUACUUGCUGGGUGCUCAGCCUGGGACUUUAGUUUAUAAAAAUAGUGGUACCCCCCCCAUGUAAAGGUUUUAUGGUGUUUUGGAAAGUUACGAGGUUAAAUAUAGGUUUUGCCAAUUAAAUUCUCUGGACUGUCUGUCUGGGUUGUCAGGCAGGUCCUCAAAUAAUAAUAAAAUCAUACAGGGACUGAAACGUCGAUCUCAUGUUUUAACCUUGCUAAUAAAAGAAGAUUUUGAGUGAAGACCGUUGAGUGCUGCCAUCUCUACCACUAUCUAUAUAUAUAUAUAUAUGAUCUAAGUACUUCUAUUACAUUUAUAAAGUGUUUUAAAACUUUAUUUUAACUAUUAAAACCUUUUUGCAGGCAUGAGGGGGACAGCCUGAGAGCUCAAGCAGGCCCCCUGCAGGCACUGCAAAAGCUGGCUAUUCCGGCCAUGUGAUCGCGAGGACCCUGCCUGGGAUGCCAGGCAAAUCCCCACAUCGCGAUGGCCAGCGAUAUGGGAAGUGCAUAGUUUGCCACGGACAUACAUCCGAGGUCGUUAACGACCAUUUUUUGUCGGACGUACUUGGUACGUCCGCGGUCGGGAAAGGGUUAACAAAGCAUGAUUUCUUAUUAUUAGCAUUUACAUAGCGCAAUAUAUUCCAAGGCUUUUUACAGUUAGAGUUACAGUUAGAGAAUGGAAAUAUUUGAGAACAAUUAAAUCAAAAUAAUACUGACAAAGACAAGAGGUGAAAAAGGCCCUUCGCAAACAAGCUUACAAUCUAUGAGUAAUUGGGAUGAAUGAUCUGUUUUCUUAUUUUUACUGUGUACAUUAAUCCAUUGACCUUCUCGGGUCUGGAAAUUCACAGCUGAAUCUCAGAUAUCAAAAAUGUGUCUUAUCUGUAGUCAAUGUGGUUUCUGCUGUAUGUAAAUAAAAUGAUGGUAUGAAUGUACACAUUAAUUACUUGCAUGUAAACUGUGCCUGAUCAGCAUCUACAUCCCUUCUCUCCGAGCCAGUUCUCCUGCUCUAUCAGACUUGGCAUACACCAUGUGGCUCGAUUGGGAACGCCAAGGACCCUGCUCUGGAAUCUAAGACG
RNAcentral lists this long non-coding RNA (13296 nucleotides) under Pelobates cultripes (western spadefoot toad). Lineage: Eukaryota; Metazoa; Chordata; Amphibia; Anura; Pelobatidae. The record is from RNAcentral.